GGGUGGGUAACGCGUGGGUAAUCUACCUCGUAGUUCGGGAUAACAGGCCGAAAGGCUUGCUAAUACCGGAUGAGUUCAUGCUUAUGCAUAUAGGCAUGAAGAAAGGGCUAGCCCGCUAUGAGAUGAGCCCGCGUCCCAUUAGCUAGUUGGUGAGGUAACGGCUCACCAAAGCGACGAUGGGUAGCCGGCCUGAGAGGGUGGACGGCCACACUGGGACUGAGACACGGCCCAGACUCCUACGGGAGGCAGCAGUAGGGAAUAUUGCGCAAUGGACGGAAGUCUGACGCAGCGACGCCGCGUGAGCGAUGAAGGUCUUCGGAUCGUAAAGCUCUGUCCUUGGGGAAGAAGGUCUUCGGACUUGACGGUACCCAAGAAGAAAGCCCCGGCUAACUACGUGCCAGCAGCCGCGGUAAUACGUAGGGGGCGAGCGUUGUCCGGAAUUACUGGGCGUAAAGGGUGCGUAGGCGGCGCUUUAAGUCGGAUGUGAAAGCCCGCGGCUUAACCGCGGAAUGGCAUUCGAAACUGGAGGGCUUGAGUGUCGGAGAGGGUAGUGGAAUUCCCAGUGUAGCGGUGAAAUGCGUAGAUAUUGGGAGGAACACCAGUGGCGAAGGCGACUACCUGGACGAUAACUGACGCUGAGGCGCGAAAGCUGGGGGAGCGAACGGGAUUAGAUACCCUGGUAGUCCUAGCCGUAAACGAUGGGUACUAGGUGUGGGUGGUUUCGAUACCAUCCGUGCCGUAGUUAACGCAUUAAGUACCCCGCCUGGGGAGUACGUGCGCAAGCAUGAAACUCAAAGGAA
RNAcentral lists this ribosomal RNA (800 nucleotides) under uncultured bacterium. RNAcentral describes it as "bacterial SSU rRNA". It matches the Rfam family "Bacterial small subunit ribosomal RNA", at positions 104 to 909 of the family's 1533-position model. The record is from RNAcentral.